This 254-nucleotide ribosomal RNA is filed under the name uncultured bacterium. Its description in RNAcentral is "partial 16S ribosomal RNA". It matches the Rfam family "Bacterial small subunit ribosomal RNA", at positions 524 to 776 of the family's 1533-position model. The record is from RNAcentral.
CACGUAGGGGGCAAGCGUUGUCCGGAUUUAUUGGGCGUAAAGAGCUCGUAGGCGGCUCGGUAAGUCAGGUGUGAAACCUCCAGGCUCAACCUGGAGACGCCGCCUGAUACUGCCGUGGCUAGAGUCCGGUAGAGGAGCGUAGAAUUCCUGGUGUAGCGGUGAAAUGCGCAGUAUAUAGGAGGAAUACCAGCGGCGAAGGCGGCGCUCUGGGCCGGUACUGACGCUGAGGAGCGAAAGCGUGGGGAGCAAACAGG